GGGUAGCGGAACACGUACAGAACCUACCUUGAUCUGGGGCAUAGCCCGAAGAAAUUCGGAUUAACUCCCCAUAACAUACUAUAGAGGCAUCUUUUAGGUAUUAAAAAUUUAUUGGAUCGAGAUGGCUGUGCGUCCCAUUAGCUAGUUGGUAGGGUAACGGCCUACCAAGGCGACGAUGGGUAGCUGGUGUGAGAGCACGACCAGCCACACGGGCACUGAGACACGGGCCCG
Molecule: ribosomal RNA, 231 nt
Filed under: uncultured bacterium
Lineage: Bacteria
Description: partial 16S ribosomal RNA
Rfam family: Bacterial small subunit ribosomal RNA
Source: RNAcentral